This is a long non-coding RNA of Chinchilla lanigera (long-tailed chinchilla), 900 nucleotides long. RefSeq lists it as uncharacterized. Lineage: Eukaryota; Metazoa; Chordata; Mammalia; Rodentia; Chinchillidae. The transcript has 3 exons. The record is from RefSeq and is a predicted model, not a curated record.
CUUGAGGCAGCCUCGGUGACCAGGCGUCCGGUGGGAUGCAGCGGGGAGAGCCGCAGACGGCGGCUUGGUCCAGCUCCUGCCCAGACGGUCAAUGAAUCAAAGCCGGGAAGGCUCUACCUGUCAGCAGGGGCUCUCCUGGCCCUGUCCUCCAGGCUCCAAGCCUCUGUGCCCAGUGGGCCAGCCGGAACUCUCUCAGCUCCCCAGAGUAACGGUGUGUCACAGGUCACCAUGGGGUGAACAGCUUGCUCCACCAUGGAACAAUGAUGUGCUGCCUUACCACAGGCCCAGAAGCAUCAAUGCCAACCGACCAUGGACUGAAAGUUCCACAUCUGCAAGCCAAAAAAGCCUUUCCUCUCUUUAACUUGAUUGUCUCAGGUAUUUUGCUAUAGUAACUGAAACAGACUAGCACAGGCACUAAUAUACCCACUCAGAACUUUCCAGCACCUCAGUGCCACCUGUGUCAAAUGUGUUCAAAUUGGCUUCCACUUGGCCGGAGGUCGUCCCUUCCACUCUAUGUCCCUGACACCACCCUACAUUUCCCUGUGUAACAACAGCUUUUGUGCUCCUCUUCAAGUUUCCAGGGCUGAUCAAACUACCUCCUCACUUCAAAAGCCUUCAAAAUUCCUGCACAAACUCUAAACAGUGUAAGGUCAACUCCUUUUUGUAGACUAAAGCCCAGGCCCCAGCUUCAGGGCUUGCUUUGUUUGUGCAACCUGGGUCACUGUGCAGGGACCUCAAACAAGUGUUCUGAGCUUGUUCAUGGUCAUUGUUGUUGUCUUGAAAUGCUUGCUUUGGAACAAGGGGCCUGGUGUUUCCAUUUUGCAAAUCGUGUGGCUUGUCCCGGUCAUUUUAACCUUGUGGGCUCACCUCUUUUUUCAUGUGGCUUCCCUCUGGCUAUUA